CGCGUUUUUCGCCCAGGCGGAGCUCGACCGCCGUUUGAAAUCCUGAAGGCCUUCGUCGACCAGCAUCGCGAUACCUUUGGGGUCGAGCCAAUCUGCAGGGUCUUGCAGAUUGCCCCG
Non-coding RNA from Burkholderia sp. ST111, 117 nucleotides. The record is from Rfam. NCBI's taxonomy places the organism in Bacteria, Pseudomonadati, Pseudomonadota, Betaproteobacteria, Burkholderiales, Burkholderiaceae.